AAAAAAAACGAUGGAACCAUCCAUAGUAUCGAUGGUUGGCCGCCGGUGACCGACUUCGAUAUUUUUCAGACUAUCACGACAGUUUUACAAAAAAUUCGAACUAAUAAGAAGAAAUAUUCAUAUUCUGGUGGUUCCGGUGUUGUUGUGGUUCCUUAAAAAUGGCUGGCGGUGCAAAAAGCAAGUGAAUGGCAAAGAUAUAAAGAGCUUAAAUUCACAUAUAUUCUUCAUGAAACUAUUGGUGGAGACAAGGUUAGGAGCAGAAUGUGAAGCAGGGUGUGGAGCAGGAUGUGGAAAUCGUGUGCAACGUGCAAGGAGCAAAGUCGUUAAAAAAGGUCAACCGGCUUAGAAGUUCGAUGUGGGAUCUUUUUGAGAGGACCAAAGAUGGAAAGACCGCCAAAUUGGUUUUUGAACCAAAGAAAUGUUAUUUGAUUUCUCAUAAAUAUGUAUUAAAAAGAUCUCACUUGAAUUUAAA
This is a long non-coding RNA of Drosophila suzukii, 472 nucleotides long. RefSeq lists it as uncharacterized. The record is from RefSeq and is a predicted model, not a curated record. NCBI's taxonomy places the organism in Eukaryota, Metazoa, Arthropoda, Insecta, Diptera, Drosophilidae.